AUACGGAGGGUGCAAGCGUUACUCGGAAUCACUGGGCGUAAAGCGCGCGCAGGCGGCUUGAUAAGUUGGAUGUGAAAGCCUACGGCUCAACCGUAGAACUGCAUCCAAAACUGUCAGGCUAGAGUGUGGGAGAGGAAGAUGGAAUUAGUUGUGUAGGGGUAAAAUCCGUAGAGAUAACUAGGAAUACCAAAAGCGAAGGCAAUCUUCUGGAACAUUACUGACGCUGAGGCGCGAAAGCGUGGGGAGCAAACAGGAUUAGAAACCCGGGUAGUCC
This 274-nucleotide ribosomal RNA is filed under the name uncultured bacterium. RNAcentral's name for it is "partial 16S ribosomal RNA". It matches the Rfam family "Bacterial small subunit ribosomal RNA", at positions 523 to 796 of the family's 1533-position model. The record is from RNAcentral.